RNAcentral lists this ribosomal RNA (497 nucleotides) under uncultured bacterium. RNAcentral describes it as "partial 16S ribosomal RNA". It matches the Rfam family "Bacterial small subunit ribosomal RNA", at positions 28 to 507 of the family's 1533-position model. The record is from RNAcentral.
GAUGGACGCUGGCGGCGUGCCUAAUACAUGCAAGUCGAGCGAACAGACGAGGAGCUUGCUCCUCUGACGUUAGCGGCGGACGGGUGAGUAACACGUGGAUAACCUACCUAUAAGACUGGGAUAACUUCGGGAAACCGGAGCUAAUACCGGAUAAUAUAUUGAACCGCAUGGUUCAAUAGUGAAAGACGGUUUUGCUGUCACUUAUAGAUGGAUCCGCGCCGCAUUAGCUAGUUGGUAAGGUAACGGCUUACCAAGGCAACGAUGCGUAGCCGACCUGAGAGGGUGAUCGGCCACACUGGAACUGAGACACGGUCCAGACUCCUACGGGAGGCAGCAGUAGGGAAUCUUCCGCAAUGGGCGAAAGCCUGACGGAGCAACGCCGCGUGAGUGAUGAAGGUCUUCGGAUCGUAAAACUCUGUUAUUAGGGAAGAACAAAUGUGUAAGUAACCAUGCACGUCUUGACGGUACCUAAUCAGAAAGCCACGGCUAACUACGUG